Molecule: long non-coding RNA, 1576 nt
Filed under: Marmota monax (woodchuck)
Lineage: Eukaryota; Metazoa; Chordata; Mammalia; Rodentia; Sciuridae
Source: RNAcentral
GCUGAGGCCCAGCAGGGUUUUUGUCUGGGAAUAAUGAGUGAGGCGACUUGAAUAUGGAUGACUAACUUCAUUGAGCUGAGCUAUUGUUGGGGAGCUGGGCUGGGGGCAAUUAUGGUGAUGAAUGUUAUUAUCCUUCUCUUAGGGUACUGGGCCCUACUGGGUUUCUCCCAUCUAGUGCUAUAAUCUGGUUCAGUUUUAUAAUCUGGUCCCAUGUGUCAUCUCUUGGGGCGUUCGUGGAUUCAAAAGAAGACGGUUGUCCACACAUCUGGCGUUUUCCUCAAUUGUCCGGCCCCACCCUCACUCUGAACUUUGGUCCAAAACACGUACUUUGGGGCCCGUCCGUUAGACAGUUUGUUUUGUGAAAUUCUGCAAGCCGUUGCUUGCUGCCAACCCAUGUGUGCUUUUCCGGGACCAACUCACCCAGGAUUAAUCAUGCAGCGAAUGGAUUUCCCUGUGAUUUCCCCGAACUUCUUGCCAGUUUUGGAGGCCCUGAAAUCUUUGUGAGCUGCUAAGGAUUUGUUGCACUUGAGGUAUUUAAUAAAGGUCGGGUCUCUUUGAGACUUCGGGAGGAAGUCCUGUACAUAACAGGGGAGUACAAGACUCUAAUAGCAUCUAAUAUAGAAAAGCACAUGUUUAAAAAAUGUGUCCAGACAGGAGAAGGCUAAGUACAGACAUGGCCAAGAGGACUAACUCCUUCUCUCCACCGCUGUGAAUGAGCAGCCUGAGAGUGACUGUCCUAGGGAAUUAUAAAGACCUCCAACCUUAAGAGAGGAUGGCUGGAUCAGCAGGAAGGGUAUGGCCUGCCCUGCAUUUCUAUCCCCCCCCCCCGUCAUGUGCUAGGAAUGUCACCAACUACCUCAUUUAAUCCGUUACAUCUCCUGUAAACUGUACAUUACCUCAGAAUAUGCCAGAAUUGGGGAUUCAGAAAUGGGUCUGAUGCCAAACCUCAAACUCUUUUUACAACACUACUCUGCCAUUACAAAAAAAAAGUUGAACUUGAAACUAAAAAUGAGCCUCACCUUAAGCCUCUUAAACAUGAAAGCAAAAAUUUUCUAAGGAUAUCAUAACUGUACAUUACAUACCACGCUAUCCCUUUAUGAGUGGAAUUCUUGAAUUCAUUCUGCACAGGGGUACAUUGCUGGGUGCAGGAUUUGAACUCUGCUGCUUUGGGGAGGAGAUAUUAGCCCAGAGCGUGCUUUGCAGUCUUCACGAAAUCACAGACCUGCGCUCUGAAUUCCACUGGCUUAUCUGAAUAUUUGUCAUAUUUCUGGCUUUGGAGAGCCAGGCAGCCAGGUUACAACUUGUGAAAGUAUUGCAGGGGAGUGCCGGGAGGGAGCGGGAACUCAAGGACACUAUGCUGCUCUUGUGAAGCUCACUUAGUGAGUCUGACAGAGGCCCCUUCCUCUCCACGGAAGCCUUGCCAUUCCUGCUACUCCGGAGCCUCUCAAGGAAACCGACAGCAUGAGCCUUUACUUGGAAGAGCAUCAGAUGGUUAGGGGUGCAGGGGUCCUUCUAAAGCCAAGUGUACGGUUACUGAGAUUUGUCAGGAUUCUGCUGGGUAGGCAGGAGAUAAAGC